GCGCGCGUGUGAGCUCACCCGGGUCACACUUGGCUGCACGUGCGGCAGCGACGCCCCUUCUUCGCCCAUUGCGCGCGCCAAGCCAUGCCACCUGGGCGAGCGCUGCCCGGCGGCUCCCUCUUCUCCCUUCCCCCCCGCCUCGCUCCUUCCCCGCCGCUUGCUGCAGUGUUGGGGGGAGGGCAGAUCUGGAGCAAGAUGGCGUUGCUGUGGCUGCUGCUGCUGCUUCUCCCAGGGUCAGCACUGGAACAGCUCCUUCCUUUGCAUUCCCACUAGCACCGGCAGCUGCCCUGGUGUUCUGCAGCCGCUCUGCAGCCUCCUCUCCUGCCCUGGCGGUUAUCGCUGCAGCCAGUGAUCUCUUUCCCCCCCACCUCCUCGGCGCUCCAGCUUUCUCUUGUUUUGGUGCAAAGCUUUUCCCCCUGUGUGGCAGCCGGAGAGGGGGUGGGGGUGGGGUGGAGAGUGCGCGACUACAUCUCCUCUCACUCCUUUUGCAAGACACUCACUAGGCUGUACCCAUUCUUUGGAGGACGGCACCGAGCCAGGUGCAAUUUUAUUUUGUUUUUUUUGCAGGCAGCUUCUCUUAGCAUCUGUUUUGGCUUGAUUUUGCAACGCCGAACGCCGGGGCCGUUGCGAUUAGAAACAGCAGCCUCAAAUUAUAAAGAAAAGAAAUAUAUACCUAUAUCUAAGCAACUCACUUGCAACUGUGGCCGUUGCAACCCGAACCCCCUUCAUCUUCCCAUGGAGGAUGUAAUCGGCUAAAAAAUACCUGAAGGCGACGCACUGGGAUAAUAACAUGGAGGAAGAGGAGGAGCUGCAGCAGCAUUGAAUUCCCUGGCUGUGCUAUCAAGAGGAAAGGAGAUGGUGAUUUUUUUAAAUGUGGCACCGGCGCAACUUCUGGAGUUGCGAGAGCUUUCAGCCCCCUCCCCUCAUCCCACCGCCUCACCUGCCUAGUGUCUGCCGCUUCUGUCAUUUAAUUUUUUGAUCCACCCCCCCCCCUUUCUCUCUUCUCUGCACCCCCUACAACCCUCCCCCCCUUUUCUGCUUUGCCAUGGGAAUGGUGGCAAAUCUCUUGGCUAUUGUCAUGUCGGCUUCAUUUUUCAACCCCAGCUUUGCCUUCAGUUCGCACUUCGACCCCGACGGCACUCCCUUGAGUGAGCUCUCCUGGUCUUCCUCUCUGGUGGUUGUGGCUGUUUCCUUCUCUGGGCUGUUCACAUUCAUCUUCCUCAUGUUGGCCUGUCUGUGCUGCAAGAAGGGGGGCAUUGGCUUCAAGAGCUGGAGAAGCGAAUCCCGGGAGAAGAGGCUGAGGAUGGUUUUGAGGUGUCUGCCCUGCACGGGGGCCAGCACAGUGCCAAAAACAGCCUGUAAUGUAGAACUGGGGAACCCUGGGCAGCCCUCCCCCUGCCCCCUGACCAAGGAAUUUGAUAAUGCCGAGGGAGAAGAGUAUGCUAGUGAAUUCUCAGCCCAGGGCUCACCCGCUACCCAGAAUGGCCCAGAAGUUUACAUUCUGCCUCUCACCGAAGUCUCCUUGCCCAUGUCCAGGCAACCUGGGCGCUCAGUGCAGCUGCUCAAAUCCACUGACCUGGGACGCCAUAGCCUGCUAUACCUCAAGGAAAUUGGCCAUGGAUGGUUUGGCAAGGUGUUCCUCGGUGAGGUGAAUGCAGGGCUGAGCAGCACACAGGUGGUAGUGAAGGAACUCAAAGCCAGUGCCAGUGUUCAAGAUCAGAUGCAGUUCCUGGAAGAGGCCCAGCCUUACAGGGCACUCCAGCAUACCAAUCUCCUGCAGUGCCUGGCCCAGUGUGCAGAAGUGACGCCCUACCUGCUGGUGAUGGAGUUCUGCCCAUUGGGUGACCUGAAGGGCUACCUGCGGAGCUGCCAUGCGGCCGAGGCACUGGCACUGGACCCUCUCACCUUGCAACGUAUGGCCUGCGAGGUGUCCUGCGGCCUGCUGCAUCUUCACCGCAACAACUACGUGCACAGUGACCUGGCGCUGCGGAACUGCUUACUCACGGCUGACCUGACAGUCAAAAUCGGCGACUACGGCCUCUCUCACUGCAAAUACAAAGAUGACUACUUUGUGACGGCUGACCAACUGUGGGUACCCCUGCGCUGGGUGGCGCCUGAACUCAUCGACGAGGUGCAUGGCAACCUGCUUAUUGUUGACCAGACCAAGACCAGCAAUAUCUGGUCCUUGGGCGUGACCAUCUGGGAGCUCUUUGAGCUGGGCAGCCAGCCCUACUGCCACUACUCGGACCGGCAGGUGCUCACUUACGCCAUCAAGGAGCAGCAGCUUAAACUUCCUAAGCCGCAGCUCCCACUCUCACUGUCUGACCGCUGGUACGAGGUGAUGCAGUUUUGCUGGCUGCAGCCAGAGCAGCGCCCCACUGCUGAGGAGGUGCACCUGCUGCUCUCGUACCUGUGCGCCAAGGGUGCGUCGGAGGCUGAGGAGGAGUUUGAGCGGCGCUGGAACUCCAUGAAGCCUGGCGGCGGCGGCGGUGGAGGAGGCGGCUCGGGCUCGGGCUCCAGCCACGUGGGCGUUGAGCUCUCGUCCUUCCCCCUCCUGGAGCAUUUCUCCAACGAUGGCGACGACGUCCUGACCGUCAUGGAGACGAGCCACGGCCUGAACUUUGAGUACAAGUGGGACCAAGGGAAGACGGAGCACCUGCCGGCCUCGGCCAUGAGCCCUCGCGACGCUGCGCGUUACCACGAGCUCUACUACGCCGCCAGCGGCAGCAGCGGCGGAAGAGGGGACGGCAGGCACCUCAGCCUGGGGGUGUCGCCCUCCUGCUACGAGUGCAAAGUGCAGGGCUGCCCUGGCCUGCACACGCCAGGUGUGGUGCCAGUGCUGAGCGCUCACAGCCCCUCCCUGAACAGCGAGUACUACAUCCGCAUUGAGGAGGCGGCUUCCGAGGGCAGCGGGACGGACCUCGACUACACCAUGUGCUCCUACAGCCCGGAGUUUGGCCGCCCCUCCCACUGGCAAGCCAAGGAGGGCUGCUACGAGUCGAACAGCAGCCCCACCGUCUCGCUCACCAUGGAGCCCCUUCUGGGGCAUUCUGGUGCACAUGGGGACAGCGGCCACUGGGAGCCCCCUGACUACUACUCCUAUGGAGGGCAAGGGGACAAGGAGGCCUCGCCGUACUACGAGGCCUCCCUGAAAGACGGCCCUGAGGACUACCUGCUUGAGGAGCAUGGGGCUUCCGAGUGGCCCGUGGCAGCUCCGCAGAAAAGCAUAUUUGCUGACCCGCUUGGUGUUUCACCCUCGGUGGGCUACGCCUACAAGGAGGAGGCCGCAGUGGCAGACUCGGUCACUCUGGAACUGGGAGAGGAGGAGGAGGAGGAGGAGGAGGAGGAAGAGGAGGAGGAGAACUCGUGUGGCAGCCCUGGGAGCGAAGGGGAUGAGAACAACGGGUCCCCUUCCUCCAGCAAGAACUGGACGUCCAACACCUCCGCCAAUAACAACAGCUGCCACCUGCUGCCGCCGUGUGAGCCACCUGCCAAAGACAGCUGGUGCUACCGCCACAUGAUCACUUUCCAGGGGCUCAUGGCAGAGCCGCUGUGUACUGUACCCCGUGACGGCCCCACGCUAGGCAUCGAGGACUUGCGAGCGGCCCUUUUGGGCGAGGAGCGGGUGGCAUCAUCUCACACGGGCUCCCCCUGCCCAGACACCGACUUGCCUUCAGAGGAACGAGCGUCAGCCGAGGUUGCCAGCGUAGAGAUCGGCGCAGGCGAUGCCACAAAUCCCUUGGCUGAGAGCGGGGUGGAGUGCCUCCUGGCUGCCACCACUCCACCACCACCAGGGGACACGGAUUCAGUGGCGUCAACGCUGGAACCUGUCAACAACACGGACGCAGGGGAUGCCACCGUGCCAGAGGAGGAGGCACUAGGAACUGGGGAAGACCCCGUCGUGGUGGAAGAGGCCUCGGCCGAAUGCUCACCCAAGGUGCCGCGAGAGAUCAACGUGGACAGCGGCAAGAACACCACGACCAGUGAGCAGGACAGGACACCAGACAAGACGGUUUCCAGCGCCAGCUUCCCUGACUUGGAUGAGGCCAGUGACGAGGACACGGCUGAGCUCACAUCCGGGGUCUUCACUGACUUCCCAGUUGAUUGUACCGAGCGGCAGGACGUCAUCGUCACCCUCAAGUCCUUGCAGAAGCAGGUGGAGACCCCUGACUCGCUGGAGUCGCUGGACAUCCCCUCCACCACCAGCUCCUGCGAGGCGUUCAGCCCCACAGCCUACGUGCCCUCGAGCCAGCCUAAAGCCUUAGACAGUGGCUACGACACAGAGAACUACGAGUCGCCUGAAUUUGUCCUGAGGGAGCCUCACGAGCCACGGGAGCCCGAGGCCUUCACCCAGCUAGAAAAGGCACCAGACGGCCCCGAGGGCCCAGCCAAAGAGCUGAGCCUCUCCAGCUCCUUCAGCGCUGAGCUGCAGGGCUUAGAUGAGAAGAACCCUUACCGUGACUCGGCCUACUUCUCUGACUACGAUACCGAAGGGGGGGCUCGGGAGGACGGGGAAGGGGACAGUGAUGGUUCUGAGGGGCACGAGCCAGAGCUCCCCAAGGCGGACGUUGGAGAGUUGGGGAAGGACCCCGCCCAAAAUAGCGCAGGCGAGUCUCGGCCUACUUUCCUUGAGCCCAUUUGCCCACAGGAAGACGGCAUGGGGUGUACUUUUCCUCCAGCGGCUAGCGACCAGGGCACGGGGACAAGCCUGUCACAAGAGCUGGUAGUGAAUGGAGUCACUGUUGCUGAGCUGGACUCAUCCAGAGGCAAGAGCAACGAGGUUGUCGCCAUGCCCCAGGUGCCGCCCCCUGCCACCAGGUCCUUUUUCUUGUCUCCUGUGGUUGCGAGUCCGGAUGUGCCGAAUGGGGCUUGUGAGGGAGAUGCGGGGAUGGGGAGCAAUGGAGUGGCAAGGGCAGCAGAGGAACCCGGGGAAGGGCAGGAACGAUGCUGCCCUGGUGAGCAGCCCCACAGCAGCCCUGGGCUCUCGCUGGACCUUUCGGCGGCACCCUCUCGGCAUCCGUCUGUCCCUGCCGAGCUCGAGGAAGAGGAGGACGACACGGAUGACAGCGAUGAGUCGGACGAGGAGCUGCGGUGCUACAACAUCCAGGACCAGAGCGAGGAGAGCGAGGAGGAGCUGCCCGCUGUGCCCAUUGUGGUGGCCGAGAGCCACAGCGCCCGCAACCUGCGCAGCCUGCUCAAGAUGCCCAGCCUGCUGGUGGAGACCUUCUGCGAUGACCUCGAACGCAAGAAGAAAGCCGUCUCCUUCAUCGAAGAUGUCACCGUCUACCUCUUUGACCAGGAAAGCCCCACGAAGGAACUGGCAGAGCAUCCUUUCCCGGGAGUAACAGAACCUCCUGUGGCGCCACCUGUGCAUAAGGACAGCAAUGGUUCCCCAAGCCCAGCAGAGAGAACAGAUGCACCCAGCAGUUUGUCGGAAGGGAGCACCUCUGAAGAGAGUAAGGGUAGUGGUUUUGAGUGGGAAGAUGACUUCCCCCUCAUGGCAGUGAAAGCAUCUGUCAUGCCAUCGUUGACGUCGGCGGCACCUGAGCCUGCCCUCCCCGGACUGCCACCCACACUAGUGCCAGCUCAGAAGCAGGUGCUGCCCAUCCAGUUUUCACGCUUCACAGUCUCACCUGCCCCCGUGUCGAGGUUCUCCAUCACACACGUCACUGACUCGGACACCGGUUCUGUAGGAGGAAGCAGUGAAAACAGAGGCGACAGAGAAUGAGCUUAGCCAUGGGCUUGAUUUUGGACUUGCCCCUUACAGCAUCGGUUUCUGCAUCGGGGCUAAGGAGUAAGGACGGAGGCCCAGAACUUGGGUGGAGCAGAGAACUCCAUGGUGGUGCUAUCCUUCCACCCCUUGUGGCUUUUGAAGCCCCAUCCAUUCAUACCACAUGCAGGGAAGGCAAGUAGGUUGUUGCCAAAUGCAGGAUUCUCCCUGGCACCAUGGGAAUGUGAGUUAAGUCUACUAACCAUCCAUCUGCGCUGGUGCGUCUUUUCAAAUUGCCCUCGCCAUACCCUGGUGAGUACAACCAGGGCUUUGUCCGUACUGCCAUUCAGUGGAAAAUGUGUUUCUUUUUUUUGUUCUUAAUACAAUACUUGCUGCAGAAUGUGGUUUCGUAAGAACCUCUUCUUUCACUUGGAAAGAAAAGCAAGUUUCUCGCCAUUAUGAUUGCAAGGAUAAGCCUGAACAAACCUCAGAAGCUGGAGAGGUUACUGGUUCCCUGGUGAGGUUUAGUUGUUGUUGCUGCUGCCGCCGCCGCAGGGCUUCAAUAUCCUCUUUCCUUGCCAUGAAAGGGCAGGGAAGCAGAAUACAGGGAGCAUCAGGGAGAUCUUGCAAAUUCACUUGAUGUAUGCAAUAUAUAGCCUAUGUAGCUUGUCAUACACAGCCCUCUUUCUAUCAGUUUAGGGUGGAAGUUGAACGGUCCAGCUUACCAUGAGGCUUGAGUUUCAUUUUGGGCUUUAUUUUGCUUCCCAACCUUACUGUUUCCUGGCCUCGGUUUUUCCCGUCUGUAAGUGUUGUGGGAGGCCGGUCCCACCAGGGCUAAUAGUUGGCAAACCAGGCUUACUAUGUAAGCUGUAGAGGCAGCUAAGGGUGACUCCAAAGUGCUCCAAGCUCCAAGCAACAUUUGCUCCGAAGAUCAUCCACGGCCAAUAGUGAGACAACACACACUUAUUACCAUAUUCCUACAAGGGCACCUUGCAUUUUAUUUAUUUAAAUUCCAUUUAAAUUGUUAAAAACACCUCUAAGCUGUUUACAUAAAAUACAAAAUGUUAUGUUAAAAGUUAUGAUCGGUAAAAGUCAGGAAUAAGAAGAAAGCAUUACCAGAAGUGGAGGGGAAAGGUACCAUUUCCAGUGUUCGGGGUUUCUGUGCUUAUGCCACUCUAUAGGAUCAGCAGCAGAAUAAAUUAUGCAAAGUAAACAAAUUGUGCAAAGAAAGCAAAUUUGCAUGAUUUAUAUAGGAUGCAGAAUUUACCUUUUUUUAUUUUAAAGCCUGUCGCGCAUUGACUGCCUUAGCGAGCAAGGAGGGCGUAGCAAGAGACCUUCACCCAAGAUGGUUUUAAAGCAGCUUGAGCCUGCUCACGCUUUACACCAGUUUUCGUUGUCCAGCCUCCCCUUCCUCUGUAAGAAGCAGAUGUGGCUCAGAACAGAGCAAUGCUUAAGUGCUUACAGAACAAGCAGAUGAGGCCAUGAAACCUCUCUCCUUUUGAGGAAGUUGCCUACCACCAAUGCUGACUUUGGGCGGUGGAAAUACUGCAAAACAGCAUUUGCUCCAGAGCUGUGCAGCUUUUCAUUUUCUAAACCCCUGAGACAGGUUAAUCUAGAUGCAAUAUCCAGAGCAAAAGUCAGUGGUAGGCAUAAGAUGACAAAACGACAAACCAAUCCCUUUAUCCACAUGGGUGCAAUAUGCCUCUUAUGUAAUGGGAAGAGUUGGCUUUCAUUCCAACAGGGCUGAGUGCUGUUAUUCUCCAACUGGGAGACAUUUGGAUUGGAGGAACAGCAGCCACAGGCAGAAAUGGUACUCCUCCCAGCAUUGAGGUAUAAAACUCCAGGCGAUUCCACAAGGGAAGGUAGGCUUUAUAGGCUGCUGAACACUACUGGCACCUCCAAGCAAGCACACUAGGCAGUGCUAUUUGCAUGGGCCUCAUUUUCACCUAAUAUACUCCGUAUAAUUACCCCACAUUUCUUUCCGUCGUAGGCAGCUGUCGGGCAUGGCACGGGUGCAACUGGGCAUACACAGCUUGCGGUGGUGGUAUCAACAUGGGCUGUUUUUGAGUGGGGUUUCUAUCCGUUACACUUGGGUUCCUUCCACAUUCGGUGAAAUGGGAGAGUGGAAGAUUCACAGACACAAUGAGUUCCGUGGAGCGCAGCUUUGAGGGUGGGAGUGUUGCUAAGUGGCUACAGCGCAGUUCGGCCUCCAAGCCGCGUUCCUUUUGGCACUGCAUUUGAACAAGAAACGCUUAAGGGUGUGUGUGGUCUAUAGCAUCAAAAUGCAUUCAGCACCUGAGAGGCUGCAUGAAGACAGAGCUAUGUUUUGGAUUGUGCUGGUUUUUGUUUUUUUAAAAAGAAAAGAGAGAGAGAGAGGCUAUUUACAGUGUAUAUUUUAUUGAUACGGGUCAUAAUUGCUGUAUUUUUUAUCAGUGCUGAUUUCCAUACAGCUCCCAGCAUGUGUGUCAAAUACCAUUGGUCCAAUAAUAAUAACACUAAAAAUAAAACAUUUUUAAAAUAA
This is an RNA transcript of Podarcis muralis (Common wall lizard), 8231 nucleotides long. It is a transcript of the gene named apoptosis associated tyrosine kinase, with no coding region annotated. The record is from RefSeq and is a predicted model, not a curated record. NCBI's taxonomy places the organism in Eukaryota, Metazoa, Chordata, Lepidosauria, Squamata, Lacertidae.